Molecule: long non-coding RNA, 663 nt
Organism: Homo sapiens (human)
Lineage: Eukaryota; Metazoa; Chordata; Mammalia; Primates; Hominidae
Source: Ensembl
UGUAUCUGUGCCAUUCCAUAUGGAAGCCAUAAACCUCAUGUGGCAACCAAAGACAUGAAAUGUUCCUAGUGAGACUGAGGAACUCGAUUUUUUAUUUUGCUUAAUUUAAAUUAAUUUAAAUAGCCACAUUUUUAAAUAGCCAGUGGCUACCAUACUGGAUGAUGUAAGAGCCUCAGGGAACCAAAGGCUUUGGGACUAGACUCUUCCACUGACUCAGAAAAAGAAAGCAGAGAAGGAGAGAAGCCAGUGCUGUUCAUACUCGGGAGAGGAAAAAUGUGUUUGCCCCUCCCAGGUACACAAAGAGAGAGCCCGAAAUCAACAUCCGCGGUUGCCCUGAGAUAGCAUCACCCAUCGUUCCGCCGGUGCGCCCUCCCUGAGAUGGUGGCGUGUGUUGUUUGGGCUGUUUUUCAUAGCCGCCGCAGCUGGGAAUUCAAGAUGCUAUACUUAGGCAGAAGUCCAUGAAGGAAUUAAUUGAUAUGAGCCAGAAGUUGAUUGCCAUUUAAGUACUCAGCCUCCACCAUUGCCAAGUUUCCCUCUUUGCAGAAAGAACUGAGCUUGCCUGCAAACUGGCUCAUUCAGGAUGUGAGCACAAGAUGGAAUUCAACCUUUAAUAUGCUGCAACACCUGCUUGGAAAUAAAGGGGCUCUGUGCUUUUCCCCCCAA